Molecule: long non-coding RNA, 231 nt
Organism: Poecilia latipinna (sailfin molly)
Lineage: Eukaryota; Metazoa; Chordata; Actinopteri; Cyprinodontiformes; Poeciliidae
Exons: 3
Source: RefSeq, a predicted model, not a curated record
AUAGAGAAGGAUGGGUACACAGAAGAAGAAUGAACCUUUCUGUUAAAUGCUAAUGGAAGUUCAAAGUGUGUGUCAUCUUUCCUAUAUGACAGCAUCACAUAGGGAAAGGACAAAGUAACCACCUUACCCUCAGCCCAUCGCUCGUAGCAAGUAUAUAAGAAGAUUGGGUCCUGGCCACCUGAUGCUCUCUUCCCUGUUUGUGUAUCAGACUUCAGUUGCAGAUCCUCAGCU